Molecule: ribosomal RNA, 440 nt
Filed under: uncultured bacterium
Lineage: Bacteria
Description: partial 16S ribosomal RNA
Rfam family: Bacterial small subunit ribosomal RNA
Source: RNAcentral
CCUACGGGUGGCAGCAGUGGGGAAUAUUGCUCAAUGGGGGAAACCCUGAAGCAGCAACGCCGCGUGGAGGAUGAAGGUUUUCGGAUUUUUAACUCCUUUUGUUAGAGAAGAAAAUGCCGGUACCUAACGAAUAAGCACCGGCUACCUCCGUGCCAGCAGCCGCGGGAAUACGGAGGGUGCAAGCGUUACCCGGAUUCACUGGGCGUAAAGUGCGCGUAGGCGGGAUUGCAAGUCAGAUGUGAAAGCCUUUGGCUUAACCAUAGAACUGCAGUUGAAACUGUUAGGCUAGAGUGCUGGAGAGGUAGGUGGAAUUCCUGGUGUAGCGGUGAAAUGCGUAGAUAUCAAGAGGAACACCCAUUGCGAAGGCGACUGGCUGGAACGUAACUGACGCUGAGGCGCGAAAGCGUGGGGAGCAAACAGGAUUAGAUACCCUAGUAGUC